GCAGCCUUCCAGGUAGGCACUGUCCCCAGGCAAAGCCCUUUCCACCCACCGCCCCCGGCUCCUGCCCGCCCGCAGUCCCGUGCUGCGGCUCCGUUCGGUGCCCGGCGCGGGGAGCCGUCCCAUGGGGCAUCCCGGGUUCGCUCCUCGGGUAAAUUGAGGAGUCUGCAGACUGCGUGGGUUAAAGGUCAUUUCUCAAAUCACUAGAAUUAGGAAAGAAUAGCAGAAAUCUGGAAAGAGGGGAGGAGUCGCGCUGUAAAACAGGAAAGAUCGCCUGAAAUCAGCUAAUAAAGAGCCCCGAGCAGUUCACCACGUGCUUGUAGUGAGUGAUGUUUGGCAUCGGGUCAUGGCAUAAUGCUGUGGGCGCUCCUGGGCGCUGCUGUACACAGCAAUAGGACUGGGGAACGAAUAAAUCACGGGCACGUUUUCAAACCGUGGCUCACAGAAGUGGAAAUAAAGGGCAGAAAUCCAAACAUCCUGCAAGGCUUGAAGAAUUUUAAUUUCUCCUCGCUAUUUAAACCAGCUGGGUGAAGCUAGAGGGGGCCGGAGGGAGGAGCGCUGACGUUACAGGCAUUGGUGCUGCCUGAGCUGUGUGUCUGUGGGGCUGCUGGUCGUGGAGCUCCAUGGUUAAUGGGACAGUUGUGCCAUGUGUCUACUACCAAUGUCUGAGCAUUUUCAUGAGGAAAAAAUAAAAUGAAAUAAUAAUAAUAAUACUCCAAAACCCCAGGCUGCUCAGUAAUAUAAUAGGAAAUGCAAAGGUGUUGGUGAAUAUCCAAACAGCAGAACCCCAGAAGAGCAGUGCACCUGGUUGGAUCGAUGGUCUGCCAUAGAUCUGGUGGCUCAACAGUUCUCUGUAAGACAGAAAUGAGUCAUUUCCAGUAUCUCAGAUGGGUUUCUGUCCUUUUAUUAUUCUGCAGAAUAAUGCACUUUAACUGAGGGCUGUCACACCAGGACGCUACGUGCACGUGUUCAUCGCAGUGCUGCUGUGUGAUCUCUGUCUUUUCACAUUGACUGAUGGCAAACAGGCAGUCAGGCUGAUGGCACACUGCUCCAUCACGAAGAACCUGGAGGGAAGCAGAGCCCUCUAGGAAAGAAGGUCAUUUUCUGCAUGUCUCUUUAGGUUUUCAUAGCGUUCGUAUAAAUGAUAUAGGAAGUAUCACACAUUACACUGAAACCUUGUGAAGGCAGAACCCCCCCCUGCAGCUGCUUUGGGGUUGUUGUGCAUGUGUAUGGUUUUGGGGUGAGGGCCAUGCACAACACCAGAGACCAUUUGACAAAAGCAAAC
Long non-coding RNA from Gallus gallus (chicken), 1282 nucleotides. The record is from Ensembl. Lineage: Eukaryota; Metazoa; Chordata; Aves; Galliformes; Phasianidae.